CGCCGGGCGCAUCAGCUUCGUCUUUGUUGCUUCCCGCCGCGUCCAGGCCCCCGAGGAAGCGCGAGGCGGGAGAGGCUGGGGCUGCGACGAGCAAGCAGCGGGUCCUGGACGAGGAAGAGUAUAUCGAGGUACGACCUCGGUGCGGACGCCGGCGACUUCUGGGCCCAUCCUCUGCUUCAGGCUCCUCUCAGGUUCCCUCUCUCGGGUCUUGACACUCCGUCUCCUCGUGGAAGUGGAGGAGCCGGGUGUGGACGGUCCCACGAGUCAAGUAAACAGGGCAGAGGAAGACGUCUGUGGUGGAAGAGGCUGUAGUAGUGUUGUCAGGGAAAAGAGGGAGCGGCUCUCUUUGUAUGGGACGGGGGUCAGGGAAAGAAGAUUUUCUGUUAAAGUGUGAGUAGGAGUUUGACAAACUGGAAGGAUGGUGGCAAAGAGGGCUUUCUAAAGAGCGGUGGCAGCAAGUGUGAAUGCUGGGGUUCCUGGAAAGAGACCGCAGUUGUGACAGCAUCUCGAGUGAGUGGACCUCCGUCGCCCCACCACACGCACACAGAAGGAGGAGCUGAAACGGGGAUUGGCGGAAGGCCUCCAGACGGUCAUCCAAAGGGAUUUCUUUCCUGAUGUGGAGAAGCUCCAGGCACAGAAGGAGUACCUGGAAGCCGAGGAGAAUGGAGACUUGGAACGGAUGCGCCAGAUUGCCAUCAAGUUUGGCUCUGCCUUGGGCAAGAUGUCCCGGGAGCCCCCGCCACCCUAUGUGACUCCAGCCACGUUUGAAACCCCUGAGGUGCAUGCAGGCACUGGAGUGGUGGGCAACAAGCCCAGGCCCCGCGGCCGAGGCCUGGAGGAUGGAGAGGCUGGAGAGGAGGAGGAGAAGGAGCUGCUGCCCAGCCUAGAUGUCUUCCUGAGCCGCUACACGAGUGAGGACAAUGCCUCCUUCCAGGAGAUCAUGGAGGUGGCCAAGGAGAGAAGCCGGGCACGCCACGCUUGGCUCUACCAGGCUGAGGAAGAGUUUGAGAAGAGGCAGAAAGAUAAUCUCGAACUCCCAUCAGCAGAGCACCAGGCCAUCGAGAGCAGCCAGGCCAGUGUGGAGACCUGGAAGUACAAGGCCAAGAAUUCCCUCAUGUACUAUCCAGAGGGUGUCCCUGACGAGGAGCAGCUGUUUAAGAAGCCCCGGCAGGUGGUACAUAAGAACACGCGCUUCCUUAGGGACCCCUUCAGCCAAGCCCUGAGCAGGUGCCAGCUCCAGCAGGCAGCCGCCCUCAAUGCCCAGCACAAACAGGGCAAGGUGGGCCCCGAUGGCAAGGAGCUGAUCCCCCAGGAGUCCCCUCGAGUGGGUGGAUUUGGAUUUGUUGCCACUCCUUCCCCUGCCCCUGGUGUGAACGAGUCCCCGAUGAUGACCUGGGGGGAGGUUGAGAACACACCCUUGAGAGUUGAAGGGUCGGAAACCCCCUACGUGGACAGGACACCGGGCCCAGCUUUUAAGAUCCUGGAGCCAGGCCGCAGGGAGCGGCUGGGGCUGAAGAUGGCCAACGAGGCCGCUGCCAAGAACCGGGCCAAGAAGCAGGAAGCCUUGCGGAGAGUGACGGAGAAUCUGGCCAGCCUCACCCCCAAAGGCCUGAGCCCAGCCAUGUCGCCAGCCCUACAGCGCCUUGUGAGCAGGACGGCCAGCAAGUACACAGACCGGGCCCUGCGGGCCAGCUACACACCAUCCCCAGCACGCUCCACCCACCUCAAGACCCCGGCCAGUGGGCUGCAGACCCCCACAAGCACACCGGCGCCUGGCUCUGCCACACGCACCCCUCUCACACAGGACCCGGCCUCCAUCACGGACAACCUGCUGCAGCUCCCUGCCCGGCGCAAAGCUUCGGACUUCUUUUAGAGCCAGGCCUGGGCUGGGCUCAUAGACGCUUCACGGAGCCUGCAGGGCAGCUGUACACCCAGCAGAGGACUCCAGCCUUCUCGGGGCCCAGGCCUGGGCCAGAAGCUGUUGACUAUACCAGGAGUCACUGGAGAAAGGGGCUGUGCUGGGGCCAGGCUGGCACAAGGCACUCGUGCCCACACCACACCCCAGGGCCUUGCCAAGCUGUUUGCUGUUUAAUUGGCCCCU
This 2101-nucleotide small RNA is filed under the name Pan troglodytes (chimpanzee). RNAcentral describes it as "retained intron". The record is from RNAcentral. Lineage: Eukaryota; Metazoa; Chordata; Mammalia; Primates; Hominidae.